GGAGGAUAGUCCCUUGUCCCCUAAAUAGGGACUAGAAUGGAUGGCUAAAUGAGGACAGAACUGUCUCUUGUGGUCUGGCCAAUGAAAUUGAUCUUCCAGUACAAAAGCUGGAAUAAAUACAUAAGACGAGAAGACCCUGUGGAGCUUCAAAACCAAAACCACUAAACAUGCUUCUUGGAUUUUUAGUUGGGGCGACUUUGGAGCAAAAAAAACCCUCCAAAAAUAAUUUUAUUAUCAAGACUAACAUAUCAAAAAUAAUUUUUAUAGACCCAGCAGUAUUUUAUAUUGUCUGAUCAAUGAACCAAGUUACCCCAGGGAUAACAGCGCCAUCCUCUUCUAGAGUUCUUAUCGACAAGAGGGUUUACGACCUCGAUGUUGGAUCAGGACACCCCUAUAGUGCAGCCGCUAUAAAAGGUUCGUUUGUUCAACGAUUAAAGUCCUACAUGAUCUGAGUUCAUUCCGUA
Molecule: ribosomal RNA, 464 nt
Filed under: Podarcis siculus (Italian wall lizard)
Lineage: Eukaryota; Metazoa; Chordata; Lepidosauria; Squamata; Lacertidae
Description: LSU rRNA
Rfam family: Bacterial large subunit ribosomal RNA
Source: RNAcentral